This 84-nucleotide transfer RNA is filed under the name Geothrix sp. RNAcentral's name for it is "tRNA-Leu". It matches the Rfam family "tRNA". From Rfam's summary of the family: Transfer RNA (tRNA) molecules are approximately 80 nucleotides in length. Their secondary structure includes four short double-helical elements and three loops (D, anti-codon, and T loops). Lineage: Bacteria; Pseudomonadati; Acidobacteriota; Holophagae; Holophagales; Holophagaceae. The record is from RNAcentral.
GGCCCUCUGGCGGAAUGGCAGACGCGCUCGACUCAAAAUCGAAUGCCGAAAGGCGUCCCGGUUCGACCCCGGGGAGGGCUACCA